Molecule: long non-coding RNA, 1187 nt
Organism: Olea europaea var. sylvestris
Lineage: Eukaryota; Viridiplantae; Streptophyta; Magnoliopsida; Lamiales; Oleaceae
Exons: 2
Source: RefSeq, a predicted model, not a curated record
UAGAUUUAAAGUCUCGAUUGGAGUUAUUAAAGAUUUCAGAAUUUAUGAUCUUAUGAUCUACCCUUUCGAUCAAGGUAUGGUUGGAAGAUCGGUAAAUUUCAGUGAACUUAAGUCUUGAACUUUCGGUUGUUUGUUUGAGUCGUGUCAAUUGAUAUGAUUUGCCUUUUAAAACAAAGGCAUAGUUGAAAUAUGUUUGCUUGUUUUUCAUCCUCCUAAUUUCCCUAACAUUAUUGAUUUUAUUAAAUUAAUGUAGCUUUUAAUGCUGGAAGCACUUACAGUUCAUGUUUAUGUCUACCGGACCUUCAAUUAAAUUUCUAAAUUCUAUGACCCUUGAGAUUACUUUUAUUAAUAUUAUUUCUUGAUGAAAAUUCCAAUUAUUUGUUUGGUGGUUGUGUAUUUCAAAUCGUCGGUGAUUAACAAUAGCAUCUUUCAGACUUGGUAGCAUUUGUGGAGCUUAGAGAUACAUGGACCAUCUGAUUUUUUUUUGUUCCCCAAACUGACUCUAAAUAUAUGUCCCAUAUGAUAGAUAUAUUUAAUUUAAAAUAUACCACAUUUCUUGGGGAAUCAAGAAAGCAGCUGAUUUCAUUGGCAAAUUGGUCCCAUUCUCUAAGUAGAUUCAAGAAAAUACAAAUUUGAUAUUCAUGGCAUAAUUGGUAAAUAGUAUUGUUAUUGAUUAAACAAUACAAUUGGCAAGAUUUUAGUUUCUUUUUAUUCUUUAAUACUUCCAUGUAGUCCCCUUACCAAACAUAUUUAAUUAACAGUGUGUCAGUGGGCCGACUCUUCAAGUUUUCUUUUGGAACCAUAUAUAGAAAGGAAGGUUAGAUAUCUUUGAUAGGGUUGUAUUUUUGGUUAAAAUGGGAUGGUGUUCAAACUCACAAAAUGCAGUCUAGACAGUGGGCAGAAACUGGACUGACUCGAAGAGUGGUCAAUCUCCUACACUGCGUGCUCAUCAAGGUCCUCCUAAUUAAGGUAAUGUGGUUCAAUAUUUUCAACUGCUAAUGCAUUUGCUGCUGGAUACGAACUUUGUGCUAACAUUUGGCAAUUUGGAAGCUACUAUACAUAAAGGAAUAAUACUUUUAUCUAUCUUUAUUUUGUAGUCUACACUUGUCUUUCCUUUACACUUUAUUCUUCUUCUUUUGCUUCCUUUCUUGCAAUUUUUGAGAUAUAGUAUAAAACUUUUACUGCCA